UUGAAGAAUUAAAUUAACUUAGUGGCGGACGGGCGAGUAACACGUGAGCAACCUGCCUCUUACAGGGGAAUAACAACGGGAAACCGUUGCUAAUACCGCAUAACAUGUUAAAAGGGCAUCCUUUUAACAUCAAAGGAGUAAUCCGGUAAGAGAUGGGCUCGCGUCCGAUUAGCUAGUUGGUAGGGUAACGGCCUACCAAGGCGACGAUCGGUAGCCGGACUGAGAGGUCGAACGGCCGCAUUGGGACUGAGACACGGCCCAGACUCCUACGGGAGGCAGCAGAA
This 284-nucleotide ribosomal RNA is filed under the name uncultured Acetivibrio sp. Its description in RNAcentral is "partial 16S ribosomal RNA". It matches the Rfam family "Bacterial small subunit ribosomal RNA", at positions 75 to 354 of the family's 1533-position model. Lineage: Bacteria; Bacillati; Bacillota; Clostridia; Acetivibrionales; Acetivibrionaceae. The record is from RNAcentral.